GCGGUGAAAUGCGUAGAUAUCAGGAGGAACACCGGUGGCGAAGGCGGCUCUCUGGACGGUGACUGACGCUGAGACGCGAAAGCGUGGGGAGCAAACAGGAUUAGAUACCCUGGUAGUCCACGCUGUAAACGAUGAGCACUAGGUGUCGUGGGUAUUGACCCCCGCGGUGCCGCAGCUAACGCAUUAAGUGCUCCGCCUGGGGACUACGGCCGCAAGGUUAAAACUCAAAUGAAUUGACGG
Molecule: ribosomal RNA, 240 nt
Filed under: uncultured bacterium
Lineage: Bacteria
Description: partial 16S ribosomal RNA
Rfam family: Bacterial small subunit ribosomal RNA
Source: RNAcentral